CAAGUUAACCUUCAACCAAAAUAAAUAUAACCAAUUUCUCCCAGCGAUACAGAAAAUUCGACAUUAACUUCGGAAAUUUCUCACGUCCAUUACUCCUUCCUCUCCGCCGAAGCCGAAGUGUUGAUCGUUUUACCUUCUCCGACGAAGCCGAAGCGUUUCCAAAGAUGAUUAUUAAUCAUCGUUUACCCUUCUCCGUCGAAGCCGAAUCGUUACAGAGAUUUGCAAAGCUCAGUAUUUCUUCAGAAUUUCCGCUUUCAUCUCCACAAUUUUCAGAAUUUGGUUAUUCACAAAGUUUCAAGCUACAAGAGUUUAAAUAUUCCAACAGCAGCUGUAUCGGUUAUGAUUUCUUUCUUAAAUUAGAGUACACAAGUCUCUGGUGGAGCAAAAGAUCAUGAACUUCAGAUUAUCGGAUCUUAAAUAUUGUGACUCAGAACCGGAAGCUGAUGCCGAAUUUGAAUCUCGAUCAGCAGAGCACCAAAGUCUUGAAUGUGACUGUUCUUCAGAGGAUCGAUCCAUGAGCUUCAGCUUCUUAGCAUCCUUUUAAUUACUAAAUAAUGCACAAGUUGUUAUGAAUCUCAUCUGGCCCUUUCUUCCCCCUUAAUUGUUAUUUGGUUGUUUGUUUGCAUAUUAUGACUGGAUCAUAUUUAUUAGGAUGGAGUGCAACGGAGUACAUUCUUUUUGUUACAAAUAAAUGUUUAUUUUCCUUGCCUGCCUAUAUAGGGUUACAAAUGAUAAAAUUGCAUUCCUUGUAUUAUAAGUCAAUAUGUGUGUUUGGUUUAUCAUUAGUUCUGUGAUGAGGUGUCCCCUUAGUUUAACAGCACCUCAACUCAGGUAAGAUGAAAAUACCCUGAUAUCAGAUACCUUUGAUGUAAAGCUGCUUAUCAUUUUGGCAUCACUCCUAGACUUCUUUUUGUCCUGAAAGUUGCAUGAAAUUAUCUCCUUGAGUUUUAUUAUAUCACUUGUGUGAUAAUUCAAAUGAGUUGAUUGUUGAAUACAGUGCCUUGCUGCAUUCUAAACUAGCUUU
RNA transcript from Asparagus officinalis (garden asparagus), 1024 nucleotides. RefSeq lists it as uncharacterized. NCBI's taxonomy places the organism in Eukaryota, Viridiplantae, Streptophyta, Magnoliopsida, Asparagales, Asparagaceae. The transcript is spliced from 4 exons. The record is from RefSeq and is a predicted model, not a curated record.